UACGUAGGGGGCAAGCGUUGUCCGGAAUUAUUGGGCGUAAAGAGCGCGUAGGCGGUCCGAUAAGUCGGCUGUGAAAGUCAAGGGCUCAACCCUUGAAAGCCGGCCGAUACUGUCGGACUAGAGUCCGGCAGGGGAGACUGGAAUUCCUGGUGUAGCGGUGAAAUGCGCAGAUAUCAGGAGGAACACCGGUGGCGAAGGCGGUUCUCUGGGCAUUACCUGACGCUGAGGAGCGAAAGUGUGGGGAGCGAACAGG
Molecule: ribosomal RNA, 253 nt
Filed under: uncultured bacterium
Lineage: Bacteria
Description: partial 16S ribosomal RNA
Rfam family: Bacterial small subunit ribosomal RNA
Source: RNAcentral